CGCACUCCACUAACCGAGUUUUUAGCACUUUUUUGUGUGACUGGUUCGCUUUCUGGUUCACGCUAUCUCACUCUCGCCGUUUCUCACGGUGUGCUAGUUCACUUCACGCUACUACUAACACCAUUCGGUGCUUGCUACAACCACGGAACACUACUCAAGCGAACCUGCACUCCGCAAAGGGCCAGCUCACCAUCACAGCAAACAGUAAACAAACCUGGCGAGUUGGCGAGCGAACGGAACCACACUCCGUACGAACCGCCUUUACAAAACCGCCCCCAGGAUGCCUCCCUCAGGAAUGACUGUAAAAUGGGGUAUGCACAGAUGUAAACAGUGCGCGCGAUGGUAAUGAUGGUACACACCACCGGCUGUGCUCCGCGGAACGGAACGUGUGCGUAAUCCAAACACCGAGAUAAAACAAAAACGGUCGAUACGGUACGUUCGGUUCGCUUCGACACGGCGACAAACUGACAGCUGGCCACCAAUACCGGUGCACACGUUUCACGUUGGCCCAGUCUGUUAGGCCCUGCUACACUUGGGCUGUGGGUGCGAGAGCGAGCGAGCGAGAGAGCGUGAGCCGUGAGAUGAAGGAGUUAUACACUUCUCACUACUAGAACAAAUAUCUCACAGUCGUGGAAUAUCAUUCGCACUAUUAAGACUGAAAGUAUUGUAAGAAAAAAAAAUAAUUCAAAAUUUUUGUUAAAAAUGUUCUUUCUUAUUUUACAAACAACAUCACUCAACUCCAUUUUCCACUUUCAUCGAUUUUACUUUUUCCGUUUUUUGUUUUCAACAACUAAGUUUAUCAUCUUAAUAGGUUACGCGCAAUAAUAUUAUUCAUGCCAUAUUUAUAUUAUAUGCUUAUAUCAACUGUACGUGUCUGCAUGUUUCAUGAUGUUUACCUUUUCACUCUUCAUAUAGUUAAUAUGCCGGUGUGUGUGUGUUGCAUUCAUUCCUCAUUAUGCGUUACCGUUUUAUCCUUCCACCCGCCCUUCGAUAGUUUUGCAGCAUUAAUAUCUGUUUGAAGUUUUUUUGUGUCAGGUUUGAUUUAAGAUUUGAGUCAUGCUUCUUACAAUAUGGUUAGUAUUCGCCAGACAAAGCCGAAACGGAGUUCCACUGCCAAUAAUAUUUGUAUAUAUUUAUAGUGUUGUUAUUAUAAUUCAUCAUAUACGUUUGCUUCAUACUUUUGCACACACUCACAAAUCUUAACGAAUCUAAAACACGUCCUACUGCUAGGCGCACGGAACUAGGAAAAAUGAACAUUAACACAUAGAAAUGAUUGUGUGUUUGUGUGUGGUAUGGUUCGCAACUUGGCGCAUUAACUUAAUUCCUGCUAUUGGCGAAACUUUAUGAAACUUUAAAUUUCAAUAAUUUAUUGAAGUUGAACUAUGGAAUUUUUAUUUUGCUCCUUUUGCAGUCACUACAACAAGUGUUUCCAUAGUUUAAAACAAUCAGUAAUUUUGAAAUAACGCACAUUAUAAGCAUUCUACCCCUUGCUGUUAUAUCUCAACCCGCACAUUGUUUUAAACAUGUAGACACUUGUUUCAUGACCUAACAGACACUCUCUCUCUUGAACCAAGCCAAAAAACGCUAUAUGUCUUCUUGAAUUAAUAUCGAACGUGUGUUAUAAUUUCCCGUGCAUCAUGGGAUACAAUUUUGUGUUCUAAUACUCGUUGAUAGUAUUGCAGCCAAAAUGAACCGAGUGUGAUAACUAAAUCCGAAACGUCCUCUAAUACAACGGAAAAUCAUUCUACGACCUCAACCCUAAUAGCAUUGGAAUGGAUGGCGAAACGCGGGAUGGGGCAUUGAAAGGAUGGAGGGUUACAAUAUAUACAGAAGCAAUAAAUUUGGCGCAGACCAUUUAAGGCCUAUGCCGUCUCUUCCGGCACGGUGCACGGAAUCUAAAUAACUUCUCCUUUUUUUCGUUUGUCUCACCCUACCGGACAUUAGUGUGGUGACACUGAUCUGGACUGUUUGCACUGUUUGAAUGUCUGUGCCGUGUUGGGUGGUUCUCCUCUAUCGGCCCUACUCGUCGCCGCCGGUCAAGAGAUUCGUCCGCAACAUGUGUGUGUGUGUAUGUUUGCACUCGUGUAAUUAAUAGAUAGCGGUUUGUUCAGCACGACUCGCCGAUGCGAGGAGUUUGGUUUUGGCGCAGGAUCUUCAAGGUUCCCGCUUCGAUACAUGUAUAGAGAUAAGCCUGCCCGCGCGAGAGCGCUCUAGAGUAGCUUAGGGGUAAUGCUUUCUAUGCAUAUUAUAGUUUUACGCUUACACGAUACGGAUACGCCUUCGGGAACCCCCAGAACACACACACGCGCGCGUAUGUGUCCAUUAUGCACAUUGGAUUCGAUAAUAACACGGAUAAUUUGCUACGCACGCACGUAUGCACAUCAGUGCAUAUGCUCUCGGUGCUACUCUCCGUACAAUAAUAACGUCUUUUUUUGUGUAUUAAUGCACCCAGCAGUAAUGACCGCGCUGCUGGUGUUGGGGCUGGUGCAUCAUACAGUAGAACGUUCUGUUCCGAUCCGAUUUUGAAACGUGCGACUCUUUGUUUUAGCGCCAGUAAACAGACCAAACAAACAGUGUGUGAAAUCAAACGUAUAAUUUUCUCUACCACAACACAAACAAUCCCUGUCGCUAUCAUUUUGCUACAUUUGUCUAAAGGAAAACAGCCAAGUUUUGCGGCGUAAAAGAAAAAAAAA
Anopheles stephensi (Asian malaria mosquito) is the source of this 2693-nucleotide long non-coding RNA. RefSeq lists it as uncharacterized. The transcript is spliced from 2 exons. The record is from RefSeq and is a predicted model, not a curated record. NCBI's taxonomy places the organism in Eukaryota, Metazoa, Arthropoda, Insecta, Diptera, Culicidae.